AGUGAAGAUGUGAUUUUUAAAGUAGAAUUAUGGUAAUAUUAUAUAUAAAAAUGUAUUUUUUAAGGAAAAUAUUUUGAUGAGUGCAUACGUGUGUGUGUGUGUGUGUGUGUGUGUGUGUGUGUGUUGGCAGGAGCAAGAAAUUAAUGUUUCAGAGUAAAGAUGUGUUUUUAUGCUAUUAAGUACAACUCAAGUGUGUAUUUAUCAUAUCAU
This 210-nucleotide long non-coding RNA is filed under the name Homo sapiens (human). RNAcentral describes it as "non-protein coding lnc-ZNF804B-4:1". The record is from RNAcentral. Lineage: Eukaryota; Metazoa; Chordata; Mammalia; Primates; Hominidae.